This is a long non-coding RNA of Myiozetetes cayanensis, 442 nucleotides long. RefSeq lists it as uncharacterized. The record is from RefSeq and is a predicted model, not a curated record. The transcript has 4 exons. NCBI's taxonomy places the organism in Eukaryota, Metazoa, Chordata, Aves, Passeriformes, Tyrannidae.
GAUUUCAAGUGUUGAGAGGCUUCUGAUCCAUGAAAGACUUCAAGCCAUUGACACUCAGCUCUCCAGUCACUGAUGUCACUCCUUGGUAGUACAGAUCUUCUGGAACACUCUUUGCUGCAAAAGUGAUCCUCAGGGAAAGCAGAGAAUCGAAGCUGAGAGGGAGGAUUAGUCCCAGAGGAUGCCAUGAUCAGCAGCUGGAAACAAGGAAGAGAAGCUGGAAGCACAAGACCAUCAGAGCUGCAUCGGCUGUGUUUAACAUCUGUGAGCUCAGAAAUGAAGGGAAGAAAGAGAUUCUCGCUGACAAAUUCUGCCACAAGACAAAUGAGUGGCUAUGUUAAAACUGCUUGGAUGACGUUUCCCUUUUCUACAUGCAACUGAAUACUACCUACCUGUGCAGAGGUAUCUCCAUGGCACCAAACAAAUAAAUAAAUAAAGUAAACUA